UUUUGAUCUACGGAGAAAAUA
Caenorhabditis elegans is the source of this 21-nucleotide non-coding RNA. The record is from Ensembl. Lineage: Eukaryota; Metazoa; Nematoda; Chromadorea; Rhabditida; Rhabditidae.